Molecule: ribosomal RNA, 253 nt
Filed under: uncultured bacterium
Lineage: Bacteria
Description: partial 16S ribosomal RNA
Rfam family: Bacterial small subunit ribosomal RNA
Source: RNAcentral
UACGGAGGGUGCGAGCGUUGUCCGGAAUCACUGGGCGUAAAGGGCGCGUAGGCGGCGCGGGUAGUCAACGGUGAAAGCUUGGGGCUCAACCCCGAGUCGGCCGUCGAUACUCCCGCGCUCGAGCACUGUAGAGGCAGGUGGAAUUCCGGGUGUAGCGGUGGAAUGCGUAGAGAUCCGGAAGAACACCGGUGGCGAAGGCGGCCUGCUGGGCAGUAGCUGACGCUGAGGCGCGACAGCGUGGGGAGCGAACCGG